CACCUAUCUUACCAUAACAUAAAGUCCUCUCUCUCUCUCUCUCUCUAAAUCUCUCUCAUUCUAAUUCUUUUCUCUUUGACCCUCUUGAAAUAGAGAAGGCAGAAAAAAGGUCUCAAAGAUGAAACCAAAAGACAAGUUUGCUAAAGGUUCCUAUAAGGGCUAUCUCAAAUUGCAUGUGGCUAGCAGAGUUAAAGUCAGCACCAUGGUCAACCCUUUGAGAAUUGGGAGCAGUGAGGAAAAAGAAGCCAUUAGUGGCUCUGAAAUUGGAGCUGCUGCUGACAGUUCUUCCCCUGCAGGAAUGGCAGGUUCAUUCUAAUUGGGUGCUAUCCUAUCUGAGCUUUUAUCAUCGUCUUCUUCUCCCUUCUUCAUCUAAUUUCUACCACCGCGCUUCUCUGUCUUCUUUUUUCCUUGUUUCCCCCUCCGGUCUUCUUGACCUUGUAAGACCUUUUCUUGACCUUGUAAGACCUCACGCCGUGUCUGUUUUCUUCAUUUUUGCUUUUGUGGAAGACCCUAUGUCAGAAACCACUGACAUAGGGUUUGAUCUUCGUCUUUCCCCGUUACCGUCCAACUCAUCCUCUCCUUCCUUGUCUAUCCCUCCUGAGCUAUUUCAAUUUUGGCCAAGCAUGCCACAAUAUUAUGUGAAAUGUGCUGCCAAUUUGAGACCAUGACUACUUCAAACUACAAUUGGGUUAUUUUCUAUUUGAAUUUUUGUUCUCUUAUUAUAUGAGAAAUGUAGUUUGUGAAGCAUGCUUCAUAGUGGUCCUUAAGGUAGGUUACGCCAGAGAUAAUAAAUUGAUGUUUGUUGUAUUCAUAUGAAUUCAAAAGCCAGCAAUAUUCUGUAUCUUGUUCUGUUAAGGCAAUCAAUUUGGGUUUGUAUUA
Molecule: long non-coding RNA, 879 nt
Organism: Lotus japonicus
Lineage: Eukaryota; Viridiplantae; Streptophyta; Magnoliopsida; Fabales; Fabaceae
Exons: 2
Source: RefSeq, a predicted model, not a curated record